This 254-nucleotide ribosomal RNA is filed under the name uncultured bacterium. RNAcentral describes it as "partial 16S ribosomal RNA". It matches the Rfam family "Bacterial small subunit ribosomal RNA", at positions 524 to 776 of the family's 1533-position model. The record is from RNAcentral.
UACGUAGGGACCGAGCGUUGUCCGGAAUCAUUGGGCGUAAAGCGCGUGUAGGCGGCCUUUUAAGUCCUGCGUGAAAUCCUGCGGCUCAACCGCAGACGGUCGUGGGAAACUGGAAGGCUAGAGUGCGGGAGAGGAGAGUGGAAUUCCCGGUGUAGCAGUGAAAUGCGUAGAGAUCGUGAGGAAGACCCGGGGCGAAGGCGGAGCUCUGGACGGGUAACUGACGCUGAGGCGCGAAGGCCAGGGGAGCAAACGGG